GAUGAAGAACGCAGCGAAAUGCGAUACGUAAUGUGAAUUGCAGAAUUCAGUGAAUCAUCGAGUCUUUGAACGCACAUUGCGCCCCCUGGUAUUCCGGGGGGCAUGCCUGUCCGAGCGUCAUUGCUGCCCUCAAGCACGGCUUGUGUGUUGGGCCUCCGUCCUCCUCCCGGGGGACGGGCCCGAAAGGCAGCGGCGGCACCGCGUCCGGUCCUCGAGCGUAUGGAGCUUCGUCACCCGCUCUUGUAGGCCCGGCCGGCGCUUGCCGACACAUCAAUCUUUUUUCCAGGUUGACCUCGGAUCAGGUAGGGAUACCCGCUGAACUUAAGCAUAUCAAUAAGCGGAGGA
This 345-nucleotide unclassified non-coding RNA is filed under the name soil metagenome. RNAcentral describes it as "partial contains 5.8S ribosomal RNA, internal transcribed spacer 2, and large subunit ribosomal RNA". The stretch from base 1 to 120 matches the Rfam family "5.8S ribosomal RNA", at positions 35 to 154 of the family's 154-position model. The record is from RNAcentral.